Molecule: ribosomal RNA, 410 nt
Filed under: uncultured Alphaproteobacteria bacterium
Lineage: Bacteria; Pseudomonadati; Pseudomonadota; Alphaproteobacteria
Description: bacterial SSU rRNA
Rfam family: Bacterial small subunit ribosomal RNA
Source: RNAcentral
AACGUACGCUGGCGGCACUAACACAUGCAAGUCGAACGAAGUAGCAAUACUUAGUGGCAGACGGGUGAGUAACAUGUGGGUAUCUACCCUUUGGCCUGGAAUAACACGAGGAAACUUGUGCUAAUACCGGAUAAGCCCUUACGGGGAAAGUUUUAAUGCCGAAAGAUGAGCCCGCACUUGAUUAGUUUGUUGGUAGGGUAAUGGCCUACCAAGACUAUGAUCAAUAGCUGAUUUGAGAGGAUGAUCAGCCACAUUGGGACUGAGACACGGCCCAAACUCCUACGGGAGGCAGCAGUGGGGAAUCUUGCACAAUGGAGGGAACUCUGAUGCAGCGAUGCCGCGUGAGUGAAGAAGGCCCUUGGGUUGUAAAGCUCUUUCGUCGGGGAAGAAAUGACUGUCCCGAAUAGAGG